UUCGAUAGGUCGGUCUGAGUUCACUUAGUUCGAUAGGUCGGUCUGAGUUCACUUAGUUCGAUAGGUUGGUCUUAGUUCAUUUAGUUCGAAAGUUCGCUUAUCGAAUAAGCUGAUUAAUUUUCGCAUACAUUUAAAACUACGGUUUACAAGUUUGUGCGUAUCUAUGGCUUCAAAACGAAAGCAUAGCAAAGUUUGGAAUUGGAAGAUGGAGUAUAGAGAACAAAAUAUCUGCUGUGGUUUCCGAUAAUGCUGCAAAUAUUGUCAAUGCCAUUAAAACAGGAAAUUGGCCACAUAUACCAUGUUUUGCACAUAGCUUGAACCUAAUUGUGCAAAAAGGACUCCGCGAAAUCAGCGUUGUACAAAACAAAGUCAAACUCAUUGUGGAGUUUUUCAAUCGUAGCACUUUCGGCCUUAAGAAGCUGAAGUCAACUCAAACCCAAUUGAACUUGCCCGAUCUCAAAUUGAUUCAAGAUGUGUCAACUCGUUGGAAUUCAACUUUUAAAAUGCUAGAAAGGCUUGUUGUGUUGAAAGAUGCUCUUAUAUUAACACUUUCUACUCUGCGUUCUGAAUUAAACUUAUCUCAGAAUGAGUGGGCGAUAGAAGAAGAGUUACUGCCUAUAUUAAAACCAUUCAUGGAGGUAACAGAAGAAAUAUCAGCAGAAAAGAAUGUAACCCUUUCAAAGGUUAUAGUUCUUGCGAUUUUGCUACAGAACUGUUUGAAUAACAAAACGCCUAAGGAUAAAUGUGUUGCUGCACUUGUGGCAGUUCUAAAAGCUGAGAUGAAUCGACGAUUUUGCAAGCUGGAAAGUAACGAACUCUACGCAGAGAGUAACAUUUUAGAUCCUCGAUUUAAAGGUCGUUGGUUCAAGUCAAAAGAAGAAUACGAAAAAGCUGUUUGUAAUCUUAAAAGGAAAGUAACUCCAAUUCGUCUCAACAGCGAAAAUUAUGAAUUCGAAUCACCUGCGUUUGAAACUAAUUCAGCCAAUCAGAGUUCGGUUUGGUGUGAUUUUGACAGUGAGUUCAAGAACACGACAAAGGCUGCAAACACUACCGGUUCUGCCGAGAAAGAGAUGGAAAAAUACCUCGAAGAGGAAUUUAUACCGAGGACUGCUGACCCUUUGGUUUGGUGGGAACAAAGAAAGAAAUUGUAUCCGCAUCUAUAUUCUUACAGCCUUAAGCGACUAUGCCUUAUGGCUACAUCAGUUCCUUGCGAACGCCUAUUUUCAAGUGCUGGGGAAAUCAUCCGAAAAAGACGGAUGCUACUAAAACCUAAUAAAGUGGAAAAUCUAAUGUUCCUUCAUAGCAACAUGUAGAUGGAUCACAGAAAUCAAAUAAAUGCAUUAAAAUUACUAUAUUAUCUGUUUGUAAACUCUUUAUUAUUUCUUAUUAUUAUUAUGUAUAAGUGUUUUUGACAUAAAUUGAAUAAAUAAUAUUAAUUUUCAAUGACAGCAUUGUAUGAAAUAAA
Molecule: long non-coding RNA, 1465 nt
Organism: Drosophila sechellia
Lineage: Eukaryota; Metazoa; Arthropoda; Insecta; Diptera; Drosophilidae
Exons: 2
Source: RefSeq, a predicted model, not a curated record